This 450-nucleotide ribosomal RNA is filed under the name uncultured bacterium. RNAcentral describes it as "partial 16S ribosomal RNA". It matches the Rfam family "Bacterial small subunit ribosomal RNA", at positions 354 to 796 of the family's 1533-position model. The record is from RNAcentral.
GUGGGGAAUUUUGGACAAUGGGCGAAAGCCUGAUCCAGCCAUGCCGCGUGCAGGAUGAAGGCCUUCGGGUUGUAAACUGCUUUUGUACGGAACGAAAAGACUCCUUCUAAUAAAGGGGGUCCAUGACGGUACCGUAAGAAUAAGCACCGGCUAACUACGUGCCAGCAGCCGCGGUAAUACGUAGGGUGCAAGCGUUAAUCGGAAUUACUGGGCGUAAAGCGUGCGCAGGCGGUUAUAUAAGACAGAUGUGAAAUCCCCGGGCUCAACCUUGGAACUGCAUUUGUGACUGUAUAGCUAGAGUACGGUAGAGGGGGAUGGAAUUCCGCGUGUAGCAGUGAAAUGCGUAGAUAUGCGGAGGAACACCGAUGGCGAAGGCAAUCCCCUGGACCUGUACUGACGCUCAUGCACGAAAGCGUGGGGAGCAAACAGGAUUAGAUACCCCGGUAGUCC